CCUACUUUGUUCCUCCUUCUUUCCUCUUUCUCCCUUUUUUCCACCCUUAAUCAGCAACGCCGCGUGGAGGAUGAAGGUUUUCGGAUUGUAAACUCCUUUUGUUAGAGAAGAUAAUGACGGUAUCUAACGAAUAAGCACCGGCUAACUCCGUGCCAGCAGCCGCGGUAAUACGGAGGGUGCAAGCGUUACUCGGAAUCACUGGGCGUAAAGAGCGCGUAGGCGGGAUAGCAAGUCAGAUGUGAAAUCCUAUGGCUUAACCAUAGAACUGCAUUUGAAACUGUUAUUCUAGAGUAUGGGAGAGGUAGGUGGAAUUCUUGGUGUAGGGGUAAAAUCCGUAGAGAUCAAGAGGAAUACUCAUUGCGAAGGCGACCUGCUAGAACAUAACUGACGCUGAUGCGCGAAAGCGUGGGGAGCAAACAGGAUUAGAUACCCUUGUAGUC
Molecule: ribosomal RNA, 440 nt
Filed under: uncultured bacterium
Lineage: Bacteria
Description: partial 16S ribosomal RNA
Rfam family: Bacterial small subunit ribosomal RNA
Source: RNAcentral